This 1078-nucleotide long non-coding RNA is filed under the name Strigops habroptila (Kakapo). RNAcentral describes it as "lncRNA (ENSSHBG00005002273.1)". Lineage: Eukaryota; Metazoa; Chordata; Aves; Psittaciformes; Psittacidae. The record is from RNAcentral.
UUAAUUUAAAUGCAAAUCUGCAUUUUAUUCUAUGAAAUUGAGACAAAUGAUACAUACUUGAAACCUGACAGAGUAGCAAUUACAAACAUUAAUAUAGCUUUAGAUUAUGACUUAAACCAAAAGAGAGGAUGGAAUAGAAACACUGUGUACCAGAGCUUGUGAAACACUACAGGGAAAAAAGCAACUCUUGCCCUAGUAAUGUAUGCCUAAAACACAAGUUAGCAAUAAUUCUGCUGCAAAAGGCUAGAUCUGCCUUGUGCAGAUGUGUACCUUCAGGGAAGCCUCCAGCCACAAAUGUAUACGUACAAUGCAAGGAAGCAGCCUGCCAGCAAAGGGGUGCUGAGGGGGGUCUCAAAAUAUGUGGGAGGGGACUUUGCACUGCCCCAGCCUAAUGGGAUGUGGCACCAUCCAGGAGAGUCCUGCAACAAGAGGCCAAACAGCCAAUGACCUAGGACAGAACUGCCUAGCUGGCAUAAAGAUAUAUUUAUGCUAGGUCUGAUUUAGAUUGUGCUCUGCACAAUCAGAUCGCUUUGAAGGUUUGCCUUGUGCAAUCAUUUCCUUUGUCAGGAAUCAGAAAAAGACUGUGAAAAGACUGUGAACAAAUUGUUUAGGCAUUGAAAUUUAACCCUGUGGAAUCCUUACAGUGUAGCACAGUGUGACACAGCAGGAGCACAUUUGUCAGGGGACUGAAGCCUCUUUGCUCUCUCCGCACAAAACAUAUACAUUAGCAUUGUGUGGUGUGGGUGUGCUCCCAAGCACAUGAUGCAGCUAUGGGUAUGCAGCUCCAUGCCUACCCUGCCUCCCAUCUGCACUGCAACCGCGUUCAGCCCUUUGCACCAUUUCUUUUCCAUUAGGGAAAAUAAAGGCUUCAGAUCCUUCAAGACUGUCUGGAAGCCCUUCCACUACAUUUUCUUUCAGAAAUUGUACAAGACUUGACUUUUAAAUAACCAUAAUGCAUGUAAGAAAAUUACUGAGUAUUACAACAAUCUUUUUAAUAGACCUAAUGUUUUUCCACUAGUGUCCUAACAUUAAUAAUGUCAGAAUAUAAACACCAAAAAUGAAAAGGCAUUUGGUAGAA